This 266-nucleotide ribosomal RNA is filed under the name uncultured bacterium. RNAcentral's name for it is "partial 16S ribosomal RNA". It matches the Rfam family "Bacterial small subunit ribosomal RNA", at positions 87 to 354 of the family's 1533-position model. The record is from RNAcentral.
UUGAGUUAGUGGCGACGGGUGAGUAACGCGUGGAUAACCUGCCGUAUACCGGGGGAUAACACUUAGAAAUAGGUGCUAAUACCGCAUAAGCGCACGGCUCCGCAUGGGGCAGUGUGAAAAACUCCGGUGGUAUACGAUGGAUCCGCGUCUGAUUAGCUAGUUGGCGGGGUAACGGCCCACCAAGGCAGCGAUCAGUAGGGGUUCUGAGAGGAAGGUCCCCCACAUUGGAACUGAGACACGGUCCAAACUCCUACGGGAGGCAGCAG